UGCCCCUUUCUCACUUUGCCAAGUGGACUUAUGUCUUAACUGCCCAUUCAUGGGGCAAAGGAAGCCUCCUUGAAAACUCAAGCAAACUGGGGGUUUGUCUUGUAUCCUGUCAGAGGAAACAAGU
RNAcentral lists this small nucleolar RNA (124 nucleotides) under Sorex araneus (European shrew). RNAcentral's name for it is "Small nucleolar RNA SNORA27 (ENSSARG00000015308.1)". It matches the Rfam family "Small nucleolar RNA SNORA27". From Rfam's summary of the family: ACA27 is a member of the H/ACA class of snoRNA that guide the sites of modification of uridines to pseudouridines. The record is from RNAcentral. Lineage: Eukaryota; Metazoa; Chordata; Mammalia; Eulipotyphla; Soricidae.